This 238-nucleotide ribosomal RNA is filed under the name uncultured bacterium. RNAcentral describes it as "partial 16S ribosomal RNA". It matches the Rfam family "Bacterial small subunit ribosomal RNA", at positions 96 to 334 of the family's 1533-position model. The record is from RNAcentral.
CGGCGGACGGGUGAGUAACGCGUGGGUAACCUGCCUCAUACAGGGGGAUAACAGUUGGAAACGGCUGCUAAUACCGCAUAAGCGCACAGUACCGCAUGGUACGGUGUGAAAAACUCCGGUGGUAUGAGAUGGACCCGCGUCUGAUUAGGUAGUUGGUGGGGUAACGGCCUACCAAGCCGACGGUCAGUAGCCGACCUGAGAGGGUGACCGGCCACAUUGGGACUGAGACACGGCCCAA